RNAcentral lists this ribosomal RNA (492 nucleotides) under uncultured bacterium. Its description in RNAcentral is "partial 16S ribosomal RNA". It matches the Rfam family "Bacterial small subunit ribosomal RNA", at positions 29 to 507 of the family's 1533-position model. The record is from RNAcentral.
AGUGAACGCUGGCGGUAGGCCUAACACAUGCAAGUCGAACGGCAGCACAGUAAGAGCUUGCUCUUACGGGUGGCGAGUGGCGGACGGGUGAGGAAUACAUCGGAAUUUACUUUUUCGUGGGGGAUAACGUAGGGAAACUUACGCUAAUACCGCAUACGACCUACGGGUGAAAGCAGGGGAUCUUCGGACCUUGCGCGAUUGAAUGAGCCGAUGUCGGAUUAGCUAGUUGGCGGGGUAAAGGCCCACCAAGGCGACGAUCCGUAGCUGGUCUGAGAGGAUGAUCAGCCACACUGGAACUGAGACACGGUCCAGACUCCUACGGGAAGCAGCAGUGGGGAAUAUUGGACAAUGGGCGCAAGCCUGAUCCAGACAUACCGCGUGGGUGAAGAAGGCCUUCGGGUUGUAAAGCCCUUUUGUUGGGAAAGAAAAGCAGCAGGUUAAUACCCCGCUGUUCUGACGGUACCCAAAGAAUAAGCACCGGCUAACUUCGUG